CACACGACUCUCGGCAACGGAUAUCUCGGCUCUCGCAUCGAUGAAGAACGUAGCGAAAUGCGAUACCUGGUGUGAAUUGCAGAAUCCCGCGAACCAUCGAGUCUUUGAACGCAAGUUGCGCCCGAGGCCACCCGGCUGAGGGCACGUCUGCCUGGGCGUCACGC
RNAcentral lists this ribosomal RNA (164 nucleotides) under Eriocoma lemmonii. RNAcentral describes it as "Achnatherum lemmonii 5.8S ribosomal RNA". It matches the Rfam family "5.8S ribosomal RNA". From Rfam's summary of the family: 5.8S ribosomal RNA (5.8S rRNA) is a component of the large subunit of the eukaryotic ribosome. It is transcribed by RNA polymerase I as part of the 45S precursor that also contains 18S and 28S rRNA. Lineage: Eukaryota; Viridiplantae; Streptophyta; Magnoliopsida; Poales; Poaceae. The record is from RNAcentral.